UAUUUUGGAUUCAAGAAAGAAGUUAAGAUGCCAUAUUUAUUGCUGUAAUACCUGGAUUCAAGAAAAGAUGUGAUCCAUGGAAGAUAUCCAGGUUGAAUCUUCAAAUCCAUGCAAACUACAAAUCCACAGAAGAUGUCUUUUAUUUUUCAUGUGACCUAUUGCUCUGAUGCAAAAAAAAUGGAGAAGCCAUUACAAAAAUGGAGAGAGCAUGAAAAACCAAAUACUGCCCCCCACCCCAAAGAUGGAAAUGAUGUCAUCUG
Gavialis gangeticus (Gharial) is the source of this 260-nucleotide long non-coding RNA. RefSeq lists it as uncharacterized. The transcript has 3 exons. NCBI's taxonomy places the organism in Eukaryota, Metazoa, Chordata, Crocodylia, Gavialidae. The record is from RefSeq and is a predicted model, not a curated record.